RNAcentral lists this microRNA precursor (144 nucleotides) under Oryza barthii. Its description in RNAcentral is "MIR812 microRNA precursor family". It matches the Rfam family "MIR812 microRNA precursor family", at positions 29 to 177 of the family's 205-position model. Lineage: Eukaryota; Viridiplantae; Streptophyta; Magnoliopsida; Poales; Poaceae. The record is from Rfam by way of RNAcentral.
CAACGUUUGGCUCUUCGUCUUAUUUAAAAAUUUUCUUAAUAUUUUUAUUAUUAUUAGAUGAUAAAAUAUAAAUAGGACUUUAUGCAUAACUAAUUUUUAAAAUAAAAUUAUAUAUUUUUAAAUAAGACGAAUGGCCAAACAUUG